CGGGCGACCGGCGCACGGGUGAGUAACGCGUAUGCAACCUACCUAUCAGAGGGGGAUAACCCGGCGAAAGUCGGACUAAUACCGCAUGAAGCAGGGGCCCCGCAUGGGGAUAUUUGCUAAAGAUUCAUCGCUGAUAGAUAGGCAUGCGUUCCAUUAGGCAGUUGGCGGGGUAACGGCCCACCAAACCGACGAUGGAUAGGGGUUCUGAGAGGAAGGUCCCCCACAUUGGUACUGAGACACGGACCAAACUCCUACGGGAGGCAGCAG
RNAcentral lists this ribosomal RNA (267 nucleotides) under uncultured bacterium. RNAcentral describes it as "partial 16S ribosomal RNA". It matches the Rfam family "Bacterial small subunit ribosomal RNA", at positions 88 to 354 of the family's 1533-position model. The record is from RNAcentral.